Molecule: ribosomal RNA, 497 nt
Filed under: uncultured bacterium
Lineage: Bacteria
Description: partial 16S ribosomal RNA
Rfam family: Bacterial small subunit ribosomal RNA
Source: RNAcentral
GAUGAACGCUGGCGGCGUGCCUAAUACAUGCAAGUCGAGCGAACGGACGAGAAGCUUGCUUCUCUGAUGUUAGCGGCGGACGGGUGAGUAACACGUGGAUAACCUACCUAUAAGACUGGGAUAAUUUCGGGAAACCGGAGCUAAUACCAGAUGAUAUUUUGAUCCGCAUGGUUCAAAAGUGAAAGACGGUCUUGCUGUCACUUAUAGAUGGAUCCGCGCUGCAUUAGCUAGUUGGUAAGGUAACGGCUUACCAAGGCAACGAUGCAUAGCCGACCUCAGAGGGUGAUCGGCGACACUGGAAGUGAAACGCGGUCAAGACGACUAAGAGAGGCAGCAGUAGGGAAUCUGCCGCAAUGGGCGAAAGCCUGACGGAGCAACGCCACGUGAGAGAUGAAGAUCUUCGGAUCGUAAAACUCUGUUAUUAGGGAAGAACAUAUGUGUAAUUAACUGUGCACAUCUUGACGGUACCUAAUCAGAAAGCCACGGCUAACUACGUG